UACGUAGGGCGCAAGCGUUGUCCGGAAUUAUUGGGCGUAAAGAGCUCGUAGGCGGUUUGUCGCGUCUGCUGUGAAAACCUGAGGCUCAACCUCGGGCUUGCAGUGGGUACGGGCAGACUAGAGUGCGGUAGGGGUGACUGGAAUUCCUGGUGUAGCGGUGAAAUGCGCAGAUAUCAGGAGGAACACCGGUGGCGAAGGCGGGUCUCUGGGCCGAUACUGACGCUGAGGAGCGAAAGCGUGGGGAGCGAACAGG
RNAcentral lists this ribosomal RNA (253 nucleotides) under uncultured bacterium. RNAcentral's name for it is "partial 16S ribosomal RNA". It matches the Rfam family "Bacterial small subunit ribosomal RNA", at positions 524 to 776 of the family's 1533-position model. The record is from RNAcentral.